Molecule: ribosomal RNA, 520 nt
Filed under: uncultured Acaulospora
Lineage: Eukaryota; Fungi; Glomeromycota; Glomeromycetes; Diversisporales; Acaulosporaceae
Description: SSU rRNA
Rfam family: Eukaryotic small subunit ribosomal RNA
Source: RNAcentral
AGCAGCCGCGGUAAUUCCAGCUCCAAUAGCGUAUAUUAAAGUUGUUGCAGUUAAAAAGCUCGUAGUUGAAUUUCGGAAUUUGUCGGUCGGUCGGGCUUUAUUGUCCGCACUGGCCUGAUAGAUUCCUACCUUCUGAAUAACCAGCAUGCUAUUAAUUUAGUGCGUUGGGGAAGCAGAGCUAUUACCUUGAAAAAUUAGAGUGCUUAAAGCAGGCUUAUGCUUGAAUAGAUUAGCAUGGAAUAAUAAAAUAGGACGGCUUGGUUCUAUUUUGUUGGUUUCUAGGAUCACCGUAAUGAUUAAUAGGGAUAGUUGGGGGCACUAGUAUUCAAUUGUCAGAGGUGAAAUUCUUGGAUUUAUUGAAGACUAACUUCUGCGAAAGCAUUUGCCAAGGAUGUUUUCAUUAAUCAAGAACGAAAGUUAGGGGAUCGAAGACGAUCAGAUACCGUCGUAGUCUUAACCAUAAACUAUGCCGACUAGGGAUCGGACGAUGUUAAUUUUUAAUGACUCGUUCGGCGUACCG